This 1540-nucleotide ribosomal RNA is filed under the name Staphylococcus aureus. RNAcentral describes it as "16S ribosomal RNA". It matches the Rfam family "Bacterial small subunit ribosomal RNA". Lineage: Bacteria; Bacillati; Bacillota; Bacilli; Caryophanales; Staphylococcaceae. The record is from RNAcentral.
AGAGUUUGAUCCUGGCUCAGGAUGAACGCUGGCGGCGUGCCUAAUACAUGCAAGUCGAGCGAACGGACGAGAAGCUUGCUUCUCUGAUGUUAGCGGCGGACGGGUGAGUAACACGUGGAUAACCUACCUAUAAGACUGGGAUAACUUCGGGAAACCGGAGCUAAUACCGGAUAAUAUUUCGAACCGCAUGGUUCAAAAGUGAAAGACGGUCUUGCUGUCACUUAUAGAUGGAUCCGCGCUGCAUUAGCUAGUUGGUAAGGUAACGGCUUACCAAGGCAACGAUGCAUAGCCGACCUGAGAGGGUGAUCGGCCACACUGGAACUGAGACACGGUCCAGACUCCUACGGGAGGCAGCAGUAGGGAAUCUUCCGCAAUGGGCGAAAGCCUGACGGAGCAACGCCGCGUGAGUGAUGAAGGUCUUCGGAUCGUAAAACUCUGUUACUAGGGAAGAACAUAUGUGUAAGUAACUGUGCACAUCUUGACGGUACCUAAUCAGAAAGCCACGGCUAACUACGUGCCAGCAGCCGCGGUAAUACGUAGGUGGCAAGCGUUAUCCGGAAUUAUUGGGCGUAAAGCGCGCGUAGGCGGUUUUUUAAGUCUGAUGUGAAAGCCCACGGCUCAACCGUGGAGGGUCAUUGGAAACUGGAAAACUUGAGUGCAGAAGAGGAAAGUGGAAUUCCAUGUGUAGCGGUGAAAUGCGCAGAGAUAUGGAGGAACACCAGUGGCGAAGGCGACUUUCUGGUCUGUAACUGACGCUGAUGUGCGAAAGCGUGGGGAUCAAACAGGAUUAGAUACCCUGGUAGUCCACGCCGUAAACGAUGAGUGCUAAGUGUUAGGGGGUUUCCGCCCCUUAGUGCUGCAGCUAACGCAUUAAGCACUCCGCCUGGGGAGUACGACCGCAAGGUUGAAACUCAAAGGAAUUGACGGGGACCCGCACAAGCGGUGGAGCAUGUGGUUUAAUUCGAAGCAACGCGAAGAACCUUACCAAAUCUUGACAUCCUUUGACAACUCUAGAGAUAGAGCCUUCCCCUUCGGGGGACAAAGUGACAGGUGGUGCAUGGUUGUCGUCAGCUCGUGUCGUGAGAUGUUGGGUUAAGUCCCGCAACGAGCGCAACCCUUAAGCUUAGUUGCCAUCAUUAAGUUGGGCACUCUAAGUUGACUGCCGGUGACAAACCGGAGGAAGGUGGGGAUGACGUCAAAUCAUCAUGCCCCUUAUGAUUUGGGCUACACACGUGCUACAAUGGACAAUACAAAGGGCAGCGAAACCGCGAGGUCAAGCAAAUCCCAUAAAGUUGUUCUCAGUUCGGAUUGUAGUCUGCAACUCGACUACAUGAAGCUGGAAUCGCUAGUAAUCGUAGAUCAGCAUGCUACGGUGAAUACGUUCCCGGGUCUUGUACACACCGCCCGUCACACCACGAGAGUUUGUAACACCCGAAGCCGGUGGAGUAACCUUUUAGGAGCUAGCCGUCGAAGGUGGGACAAAUGAUUGGGGUGAAGUCGUAACAAGGUAGCCGUAUCGGAAGGUGCGGCUGGAUCACCU